Molecule: long non-coding RNA, 1225 nt
Organism: Bos taurus (domestic cattle)
Lineage: Eukaryota; Metazoa; Chordata; Mammalia; Artiodactyla; Bovidae
Source: Ensembl
GCCCCAGGAGGGCUCUGUCCUAGAGUCAGACCAGUGCCUGGGGUACCCUGGAGGCACAUUAGUGAAUGGCAACACACGUGGCCUCAUUUCAUCCCCACAGCAGGCCCCUGAGAUUGGUGCUGUUAUUACCUCCAUUGUAUGGAGAAGGAGACAGAGACACAAGGAGGCUAUACAGCUUCACACACAGGAAGUGACGGAGCCUCUGUGCGAGUCAAGAGCCUAAGUUUAUAACCUUGAUGCUCUAGGGUCGUAAAGGCCACACCAAAAUGACUUCUCAACGGAAGCAAACUUUCCCUUGAAGGCUUUUGAGUCCUGUCGACAGAAGGAACUCUGACCAUCUGAAACAGGAAGCCCUGUGACCUCAAGUUCACAAGUUCUAGGAUAGGAUCACAGGCUCUGGACCCAGACACUGGAGUUCAAACUCCUGAGUCAUCAUAUACUAGCUGAGUCUGCAUCCCACUAUGAGACUGAAAAUGCCAAAUGAUGGCUUUCCCCGCCUUCCUUGCAGCUAAGGCCUGAGCGUGUGACCCACUGCUGGCUAGUAGACCACUGAGAGAGAGUCUUCUGGAGCCCUUUCUGGAAAAGGCUUUUCUCUCACAUAAAAAGAACAGCCUUGGGCUUCCCUGAUGGUCCAGUGGUUAAAAAUCCACCUUGCAAUGCAGGGGACAUGGGUUCGAUGCUUGGUCCAGGAACUAAGAUCCCACAUGCCUCGGGGCAACUAAGCCUGUGGGGCGCGACUCCUGCAGUCUAUGCCCUGCAACGAGAAGCCAACACAAUGAGAAGCCGCAACUGGAGAGUAUCCCCUGCUCAUCACAACAAGAGAAAGCCCGCAUGCAGCAACAAAGACCCAGCACAGCCAAAAAAAAAAGAUAGCCUUUCCUCAUUGUUUAAACCACUGCAGACUGACUUUACUGUUACUUGCAGCCUAAAGCCUCCAUAACUGAUACAGAACUGGUUGCUACAAUUAUGGCAGGAAUCCAUGUGAGAAAUGAGGCUUAAUUGGAGGCACAGAAAAGAAAGAAUAGAGCUGAGGAAAGCUUGGAAGUAAAGUCAGUAAGGCUGGGUGACUGAUCGGGCGCAGGGGUUGAGCUGUGUGCUGUGUAGAAUAAAAGAAGUUUAAACCCCAGGUUUUAAACCCCAGAGGUUUAAAACACUGAUAUUAAGGAUCCCAGCAAGACAGAUACAUACUGAAUGAAAGCACCAACUAUACCAGGCAGCCUACGCC